Molecule: ribosomal RNA, 301 nt
Filed under: uncultured bacterium
Lineage: Bacteria
Description: partial 16S ribosomal RNA
Rfam family: Bacterial small subunit ribosomal RNA
Source: RNAcentral
CAGUCGCCGCGGUAAUACGGAGGGUGCAAGCGUUAAUCGGAAUUACUGGGCGUAAAGCGCACGCAGGCGGUCUGACAAGUCAGAUGUGAAAUCCCCGGGCUUAACCUGGGAACUGCAUUUGAAACUGUCAGGCUGGAGUCUUGUAGAGGGGGGUGGAAUUCCAGGUGUAGCGGUGAAAUGCGUAGAGAUCUGGAGGAAUACCGGUGGCGAAGGCGGCCCCCUGGACAAAGACUGACGCUCAGGUGCGAAAGCGUGGGGAGCAAACAGGAUUAGAUACCCGAGUAGUCCCUGUCUCUUAUAA